UCAUGGCCCUUAUGUCCAGGGCUACACACGUGCUACAAUGGGUGAGAACAGAGUGACGACGAGCCGCGAGGUGAGCAAAUCGCAGAAAAUCAUCCGUAGUUCGGAUUGGAGUCUGAAACCCGACUCCAUGAAGGUGGAAUCGCUAGUAAUCGCGCAUCAGCAUGGCGCGGUGAAUACGUUCCCGGGCCUU
Molecule: ribosomal RNA, 190 nt
Filed under: uncultured Spirochaetaceae bacterium
Lineage: Bacteria; Pseudomonadati; Spirochaetota; Spirochaetia; Spirochaetales; Spirochaetaceae
Description: partial 16S ribosomal RNA
Rfam family: Bacterial small subunit ribosomal RNA
Source: RNAcentral